This 429-nucleotide ribosomal RNA is filed under the name Actinomycetes bacterium. Its description in RNAcentral is "Actinobacteria bacterium partial 16S ribosomal RNA". It matches the Rfam family "Bacterial small subunit ribosomal RNA", at positions 355 to 776 of the family's 1533-position model. Lineage: Bacteria; Bacillati; Actinomycetota; Actinomycetes. The record is from RNAcentral.
UAGGGAAUCUUCCGCAAUGGGCGAAAGCCUGACGGAGCAACGCCGCGUGAGUGAUGAAGGUCUUCGGAUCGUAAAACUCUGUUAUUAGGGAAGAACAAAUGUGUAAGUAACUAUGCACGUCUUGACGGUACCUAAUCAGAAAGCCACGGCUAACUACGUGCCAGCAGCCGCGGUAAUACGUAGGUGGCAAGCGUUAUCCGGAAUUAUUGGGCGUAAAGCGCGCGUAGGCGGUUUUUUAAGUCUGAUGUGAAAGCCCACGGCUCAACCGUGGAGGGUCAUUGGAAACUGGAAAACUCGAGUGCAGAAGAGGAAAGUGGAAUUCCAUGUGUAGCGGUGAAAUGCGCAGAGAUAUGGGGGAACACCAGUGGCGAAGGCGACUUUCUGGUCUGUAACUGACGCUGAUGUGCGAAAGCGUGGGGAUCAAACAGG